RNAcentral lists this long non-coding RNA (260 nucleotides) under Suricata suricatta (meerkat). RNAcentral's name for it is "lncRNA (ENSSSUG00005015151.1)". Lineage: Eukaryota; Metazoa; Chordata; Mammalia; Carnivora; Herpestidae. The record is from RNAcentral.
UCAUCAGACAACGUUCUACCCUGUAAGAUGGAUGAUACCUUUCGGGAGAGGAUUUCCUAACACCACUUUAAUCAAUAAUGGCAGACCUGCUCAGCCACUGAGAAAACUGGGAUGCUGUACAAGAAACACGUUCAUUCGCGUAUCUACUGGCUUAAUACAUAUUUAUUGGCAAUCUAAUAUGCACCAAACACAGUGAUAGGCCCUAGGUGAACAAAGUCUCCAUGGUAACUAACAUCAUGAAGCCCAUAAUACAAUAAGAC